UUUAUUGGAGAGUUUGAUCCUGGCUCAGGAUGAACGCUGGCGGCGUGCCUAAUACAUGCAAGUCGAGCGAAUGGAUUGAGAGCUUGCUCUCAAGAAGUUAGCGGCGGACGGGUGAGUAACACGUGGGUAACCU
This 133-nucleotide ribosomal RNA is filed under the name Bacillus cereus. RNAcentral's name for it is "partial 16S ribosomal RNA". It matches the Rfam family "Bacterial small subunit ribosomal RNA", at positions 1 to 127 of the family's 1533-position model. Lineage: Bacteria; Bacillati; Bacillota; Bacilli; Caryophanales; Bacillaceae. The record is from RNAcentral.